RNAcentral lists this transfer RNA (74 nucleotides) under Salmo salar (Atlantic salmon). It matches the Rfam family "tRNA". Rfam says of the family: Transfer RNA (tRNA) molecules are approximately 80 nucleotides in length. Their secondary structure includes four short double-helical elements and three loops (D, anti-codon, and T loops). Lineage: Eukaryota; Metazoa; Chordata; Actinopteri; Salmoniformes; Salmonidae. The record is from Rfam by way of RNAcentral.
GGUGCUGUGGCUUAGUUGGUUAAAGUGUCGGUCUAGUAAACAGAAGAUUCAGAAUUUGAAUCUUAGUAGUGCCU